This 432-nucleotide ribosomal RNA is filed under the name uncultured bacterium. Its description in RNAcentral is "bacterial SSU rRNA". It matches the Rfam family "Bacterial small subunit ribosomal RNA", at positions 917 to 1350 of the family's 1533-position model. The record is from RNAcentral.
GGACCCGCACAAGCGGUGGAGCAUGUGGUUUAAUUCGAUGCAACGCGAAAAACCUUACCUACUCUUGACAUACUUGGGAGCUCUUGUAAUGAGAGUGUGCCUUAUGGAACCAAGAUACAGGUGCUGCAUGGCUGUCGUCAGCUCGUGUCGUGAGAUGUUCCGUUAAGUCGGAUAACGAGCGCAACCCUUACCCUUAUUUGCCAGCGAUUCGGUCGGGAACUAUAAGGGGACUGCCGGUGAUAAACCGGAGGAAGGUGAGGACGACGUCAAGUCAUCAUGGCCCUUACGAGUAGGGCUACACACGUGCUACAAUGGGGAAUACAGACGGACGCUAAGCCGCGAGGUGGUGCUAAUCCUAGAAAGUUUCUCGUAGUCCGGAUUGGAGUCUGCAACUCGCCUACGUGAAGGCGGAAUCGCUAGUAAUCGCGUAUC